Molecule: long non-coding RNA, 417 nt
Organism: Hippocampus zosterae (dwarf seahorse)
Lineage: Eukaryota; Metazoa; Chordata; Actinopteri; Syngnathiformes; Syngnathidae
Exons: 2
Source: RefSeq, a predicted model, not a curated record
AGCACAGCGCCUGGUUGAUGUUCUGGAAAAGGCGGAAACCAUGAAGAAAAACACCCACACCCACGCCCACAAAAGCUUGCUUCUCCCCAAGUGGACAUCUGGAUGUGUUUACACUCGGCUUGGGCUCUUGUAGCACGCAGCUCACCGGCGUGACGACCAUCUCCAGCAGAAGCGGCGCGAAGAGCAGCGUGAGCAGCCAGAAGAUGUGGUCGCCCUUCACCCACGUCACCCGCCACACGCCCGCCAGCGACACCAAGACAAAGAGCGCCCUGGUCGCAAUGGCGCACGUCAACUUCAACACGCUCAGCAUCAUCUUUUGCCUCCCCGCCUCCUCCAGCCGCUACGCUCCGCACUCCCCACCGAUCAACUCGACAUAUGCGCGAUGAAAUUUGCGGCGCUCGCACCAACAUCGACACC